Saccostrea echinata is the source of this 281-nucleotide long non-coding RNA. RefSeq lists it as uncharacterized. The transcript is spliced from 3 exons. The record is from RefSeq and is a predicted model, not a curated record. Lineage: Eukaryota; Metazoa; Mollusca; Bivalvia; Ostreida; Ostreidae.
CUGGUAAAGCAGUAGAAGAUGUUGCAAGGCAAAGUUGUGAUUCUGUGGUUACUGCAGAGAGAGAAUCUUCUAGUAAUAAUGAAGAGUUGAUGGUGUCAUUUGAUGGCGGCUCGCAGAAGAGGGGAUCAGGGCGUUCUUUUUCAAGUUUAUCUGGACAUGCAGCAAUGAUAGGCAGAGAAACUGACAGAAUUGUACAUUUUGCAACACGCAACGGAUACUGCAGAAUAUGUCAUAGUGCAGAGAAAACGGGGAAGACUCCAUCAACUCAUGAAUGCCGUAAA